GCUGCGAGCGAGAAAGUUGGUGCUUGCACUGUCCGGAAAGCGGCGAACGGGUGAGUAACACGUUGGUAUCUGCCCCCAAGUCAGGGAUAGCCAUUGGAAACGAUGAUUAAUACCGGAUAGUCUCUACGGAGUAAAAAUUUAUUGCUUGGGGAGGAACCUGCGGUCUAUCAGCUAGUUGGUGAGAUAAAAGCUCACCAAGGCUAUGACGGAUAUCUGGUCUGAGAGGAUGACCAGACACAAUGGAACUGAGACACGGUCCAUACUCCUACGGGAGGCAG
This 278-nucleotide ribosomal RNA is filed under the name uncultured prokaryote. Its description in RNAcentral is "partial 16S ribosomal RNA". It matches the Rfam family "Bacterial small subunit ribosomal RNA", at positions 61 to 351 of the family's 1533-position model. The record is from RNAcentral.